GACGAACGCUGGCGGCGUGCUUAACACAUGCAAGUCGAACGGCAAGGCCCUGCUUUUGUGGGGUGCUCGAGUGGCGAACGGGUGAGUAACACGUGAGUAACCUGCCCUUGACUUUGGGAUAACUUCAGGAAACUGGGGCUAAUACCGGAUAGGAGAUCCUGCUGCAUGGUGGGCGUUGGAAAGUUUCGGCGGUUGGGGAUGGACUCGCGGCUUAUCAGCUUGUUGGUGGGGUAGUGGCUUACCAAGGCUGUGACGGGUAGCCGGCCUGAGAGGGUGACCGGCCACAUUGGGACUGAGAGACGGCCCAGACUCCUACGGGGGGCAGCAGUGGGGAAUAUUGCACAAUGGGCGGAAGCCUGAUGCAGCAACGCCGCGUGCGGGAUGACGGCCUUCGGGUUGUAAACCGCUUUCGCCUGUGACGAAGCGUGAGUGACGGUAAUGGGUAAAGAAGCACCGGCUAACUACGUG
This 468-nucleotide ribosomal RNA is filed under the name uncultured bacterium. Its description in RNAcentral is "partial 16S ribosomal RNA". It matches the Rfam family "Bacterial small subunit ribosomal RNA", at positions 28 to 507 of the family's 1533-position model. The record is from RNAcentral.